This 1049-nucleotide ribosomal RNA is filed under the name uncultured bacterium. Its description in RNAcentral is "bacterial SSU rRNA". It matches the Rfam family "Bacterial small subunit ribosomal RNA", at positions 97 to 1146 of the family's 1533-position model. The record is from RNAcentral.
GGCGAACGGGUGAGUAAAGCAUCGGAACGUACCGUGUAGUGGGGGAUAACGUAGCGAAAGUUACGCUAAUACCGCAUACGCACUGAGGUGGAAAGCAGGGGAUCGCAAGACCUUGCGCUAUACGAGCGGCCGAUGUCAGAUUAGCUAGUUGGUAGGGUAAAGGCCUACCAAGGCGACGAUCUGUAGCGGGUCUGAGAGGAUGAUCCGCCACACUGGGACUGAGACACGGCCCAGACUCCUACGGGAGGCAGCAGUGGGGAAUUUUGGACAAUGGGCGAAAGCCUGAUCCAGCCAUGCCGCGUGAGUGAAGAAGGCCUUCGGGUUGUAAAGCUCUUUCGGUUGGGAAGAAAUCGCACAGGCUAAUACUCUGUGUGGAUGACGGUACCAGCACAAGAAGCACCGGCUAACUACGUGCCAGCAGCCGCGGUAAUACGUAGGGUGCGAGCGUUAAUCGGAGUUACUGGGCGUAAAGCGUGCGCAGGCGGUUGUGCAAGACAGAUGUGAAAUCCCCGGGCUCAACCUGGGAACUGCAUUUGUGACUGCACGACUAGAGUACGGCAGAGGGGGGUAGAAUUCCACGUGUAGCAGUGAAAUGCGUAGAGAUGUGGAGGAAUACCGAUGGCGAAGGCAGCCCCCUGGGCCGAUACUGACGCUCAUGCACGAAAGCGUGGGGAGCAAACAGGAUUAGAUACCCUGGUAGUCCACGCCCUAAACGAUGUCAACUAGUUGUUGGUAGGGUUAAACCUAUUAGUAACGUAGCUAACGCGUGAAGUUGACCGCCUGGGGAGUACGGUCGCAAGAUUAAAACUCAAAGGAAUUGACGGGGACCCGCACAAGCGGUGGAUGGAUUGUGGAUUAAUUCGAUGCAACGCGAAAAACCUUACCUACCCUUGACAUGUCAAGAAUCCCUAGAGAUUAGGGAGUGCCGCAAGGAACUUGAACACAGUGCUGCAUGGCUGUCGUCAGCUCGUGUCGUGGAGAUUGUUGGGUUAAGUCCCGCACGAGCGCACCCUUGUCAUAGCUGCCAUCAUUUAGUGGCACUCUAUGGA